Molecule: ribosomal RNA, 301 nt
Filed under: uncultured bacterium
Lineage: Bacteria
Description: partial 16S ribosomal RNA
Rfam family: Bacterial small subunit ribosomal RNA
Source: RNAcentral
CAGCAGCCGCGGGAAUACGUAGGGUGCAAGCGUUAAUCGGAAUUACUGGGCGUAAAGCGUGCGUAGGCGGUUAUAUAAGUCAGAUGUGAAAUCCCCGGGCUCAACCUGGGAACUGCAUUUGAGACUGUAUGGCUAGAGUGUGUCAGGGGGGGGUAGAAUUCCACGUGUAGCAGUGAAAUGCGUAGAUAUGUGGAGGAAUACCGAUGGCGAAGGCAGCCCCCUGGGAUAACACUGACGCUCAUGCACGAAAGCGUGGGGAGCAAACAGGAUUAGAUACCCCGGUAGUCCCUGUCUCUUAUAA